RNAcentral lists this long non-coding RNA (1618 nucleotides) under Olea europaea subsp. europaea. The record is from RNAcentral. Lineage: Eukaryota; Viridiplantae; Streptophyta; Magnoliopsida; Lamiales; Oleaceae.
CAAUUCCUUCUCCCCUAAAUUCUUCUCUAAUGCUGGUAUUCGGCCCCUCUAAUUCCCGUUGAGCAUAAUCGUUUAGAUUCCUUCAGCAAGCCAUGUAUAUGGUAUGCCAUUGAUCCCCAUAUUUGGAAUUUUACCUAUCAUAUUGUUUUUUAAUGUUAUGUUGCGUUGGCUGUUUGUAUUAUGUUGGUGCCGACAGUCGAGAGUGUUUUGGGAUAGAAGUCCAUCUGUAAGUGCUGGCGAUUUUUAUGGUUCUCUGUUAUUAUUUGAAUUUUUUAAUAACAGAUUUUAUUCCCAUAUAACUUUAAAAGUUUACUACUAUUGAAAUUGGAAUUGCAUUAUUGUAAACUGAGCUCAUCAGUUCAAUUGCGGUAGAAAAGAUAUAUAACCGAGUUGGAUUUUAUGUCUAGAAUUCUCAAUAAUGUUUUGGCUGCCUGUGAGAGAUACAUGGGAAUUCUGAAUCGAGCUAGCCGUUUAUAUAUUAAUCUCUGAUUCCUUUUGUUUGCUUACUCAAAUAUUUACGUAAACCCAUGUCUAUAGAUUUCAUAUUAUUUGUCUUUCUUUUGUUAAUAUUAACUGUUUGACUUUGAUUUAUAUUAAAUUAGAUUUUAAUUUAAACUGAACAUACCCUUAAUAGAUAUAGCUGCUUUCUUUUCACUUAAUCGAAGUUUACUUGUGACUGGAUAUAUCAGAUUUCGAAAAGCAAUUUUCAAAUCGGAAAAAAAAAAUAUAUAGAUCUGCCUAUUCAUGAACAAGUUUUGUAUUUCCUUCAAGUCUUAUGACUGGCUCAUCUCGAUGGACUCAUAAAUAAUAUUUCUUACCUCCUCUAACAUCCACCUCUUAUCCUCACUUUUCAAUACAUAUUCAGCCCCUGUUUGGCCCCUAUUUUUUAGAAAUGAAAAUGGGUGAAAUUGUAUUUUUUUGAAAAAUGAAUGGUUGAAAAAGUCGAGCUAAAUACUAUAAAAAAUGGGCAUGACAUCCAAAACCAUCUUUAGAUGUCCAUGACCCAAUUUUCAAAGUCGAGUUAAAGACUAUAAAAAGACACUUGCUGAAAGGCAACCCAAUUUUCUGUCCUUUAAUCUUUUUAUUUAAUUUUUUUAUUAACCAUCGUUUAUUUUUAAGUAUUUUUUGAAGUCUCAUAUAUCCGUGGUUCCUAACAAGUUCGGGAGUAAAGUGUUUUACCAAAUGGUCACUGAUCCAAGUUCAUUAAAAGUAUCACAAGUCUAAGUCAAGAUUGGUAGCCCUUCACCUCCCCUCUUCUCUUUUAUCUUGCUUUUGUGUUGACAUGUUAGAUAAUCUUUCUAGCUUAGCAUUGUUUGAUAUUUAAAAUUGUUGUUGAUUCAUGAGCUAUGACCAAAUAUGUUGUUUGUGCAUAAUAUUUUUCAAAAAUAUUGCUUGUUCAUGCGAGAUCCCAAGUUACUUUGAGCACAAUAGUCAUGAUUAAUUAUUAUCUAGAUGUGAAAAUUAUUGACUGAUGGAGAAAUUUUUGAAUUGGUUGAACAAAGUUGUAGGUUGUGUUUAAAUGUUUAUCAAUCCUACAUUCUCUUCUCUUUCACUGAACCAUAUUGCGAGAUAAGUUUUGGAGUGAUAGAAUCGGUAAAAGAUAUUAUCUAGAAAUGGG